Long non-coding RNA from Cygnus atratus (black swan), 464 nucleotides. RefSeq lists it as uncharacterized. NCBI's taxonomy places the organism in Eukaryota, Metazoa, Chordata, Aves, Anseriformes, Anatidae. The record is from RefSeq and is a predicted model, not a curated record. The transcript is spliced from 3 exons.
GGCCACUGCUCCGCAUCCCAGCAGCUCAGCCGUGGCUCAUCCAUGCCAGGAGAGGCUUGGGAAGAUGUUCCAGCGAGCUCUGAUUAGAUCUGCUCCUCCCAGGGCACUUCAGCAGGAUCGCUUUGGAGAGCUUGGUCACGUACGGGGACGUGGGCGCUCCUGUCCUACCGGGGAGGCAAGGGCCUGCUGUGGCUUGGCGCCUGGUCACUGAGCACAGGCCAGACUUUGUGAAACACAUCGAGACGUGCCGGAUUACCGCUCACUGCUAACACAGCGAGUAUUAACAGUGGCGAAGGGACUCACCCCGCAGAACAUACUGAACAUGCUCACCUGGAAUGAAAAUGGAUUAAGCCUUUCCUUCAUUACCAGGGAAACAGUAUUUGUUUCUAAUGAGAAUCUGACAGGUACAGAGCUACUUCCCUCCCUGAUCCGGUGUGACACUUGACAGCAGGUUUUCAUGGCAG